AUGAGCAGAGAUCGGUGCAGGGAAGGACUGGCGCCAAAUAUCACCCAUAGGGAAAACGGGCUCCUUCUAGCCCUCUCCCGAGUCGGUUCCGCCCACCACUGCCAUUCCCACCUAAAGCGUGCGGCGGAGCGGGAAAGGGGCGGAGCAAAGCUUGCUUCCUCGUGCCCGGUCCCAGACCGAGGAGGUUCCGGCCGCCCCACCCCCAGCCGUUCCCGCUUAUGGUAUCUGGCGGGGUUGGAAGGGGGCGGGGCUCAGUGGAGGGAUCGCUCCAGCGGAGACCGAGGAAGGUCGUGCUCGGGUGCUCUGCCGCUACUUGCCCAUUGGUGCCGGCCCAGCCCACUUGUGGUUUUAGGAAUCCUUAGACAAGAAGUAUGGCAUCAACAGUCAAUGGAGGGAACCAUAAUAGUAACGUCUGGGAAGCCCACAAAAAUAUGCUGACACAGCCACUGAAAGACAAUGACAUAGAGGUAUAUACAAUCAUUAAGAAGGAACAUCAUCGCCAGAAGACUGGGUUGGAACUGAUUGCUUCAGAGAAUUUUGCAAGCCGAGCAGUUCUGGAAGCCUUGGGUUCUUGCUUGAAUAAUAAAUAUUCAGAAGGAUUCCCA
This 605-nucleotide long non-coding RNA is filed under the name Phascolarctos cinereus (koala). Its description in RNAcentral is "lncRNA (ENSPCIG00000037407.1)". Lineage: Eukaryota; Metazoa; Chordata; Mammalia; Diprotodontia; Phascolarctidae. The record is from RNAcentral.